The sequence is a ribosomal RNA, 417 nucleotides long. It matches the Rfam family "Bacterial small subunit ribosomal RNA", at positions 137 to 524 of the family's 1533-position model.
GGGGGACGAACAGCUGGAAAACGGCUGCUAAUACCGAAUACGUCUUUUCAUCGCAUGGUGAGAAGAAGAAAAGGACGGCCUCUACACAAAGCGGUCGCCGAAGGAGGGGUUUUUGCGUCUGAUUAGCUAGUUGGAGGGGUAACGGCCCAACAAGGCGACGAUCAGUAGCCCGGUCCUGAGAGGAUGAACGGCCACAUUGGGACUGAGACACGGCCCAGACUCCUACGGGAGGCAGCAGUGGGGAAUCUUCCGCAAUGGACGAAAGUCUGACGGAGCAACGCCGCGUGAGUGAAGACGGUCUUCGGAUUGUAAAGCUCUGUUAUACGGGACGAACGGCAAGGUGGUAAAUAGCCAUCAUGAGUGACGGUACCGUAAGAGAAAGCCACGGCUAACUACGUGCCAGCAGCCGCGGGUAAU